GACGAACGCUGGUGGCGUGCUUAACACAUGCAAGUCGAACGGGAUUUAGUAAACAGAAGCCUCGGUGGAAGAUUACUAAUGAGAGUGGCGAACGGGUGAGUAACGCGUGAGCAACCUGCCUAUGACAGUGGGAUAGCCUCGGGAAACCGGGAUUAAUACCGCAUAAAAUCGUAGAAACACAUGUUUUAACGGUCAAAGAUUUAUCGGUCAUAGAUGGGCUCGCGUCUGAUUAGCUAGUUGGUGAGAUAACAGCCCACCAAGGCGGCGAUCAGUAGCCGGUCUGAGAGGAUGAACGGCCACAUUGGAACUGAGACACGGUCCAAACUCCUACGGGAGGCAGCAGUGGGGAAUAUUGCACAAUGGGGGAAACCCUGAUGCAGCGACGCCGCGUGAACGAAGAAGGUAUUCGUAUCGUAAAGUUCUGUCCUAUGGGAAGAUAAUGACAGUACCAUAGAAGAAAGCUCCGGCUAAAUACGUG
Molecule: ribosomal RNA, 478 nt
Filed under: uncultured bacterium
Lineage: Bacteria
Description: partial 16S ribosomal RNA
Rfam family: Bacterial small subunit ribosomal RNA
Source: RNAcentral